RNAcentral lists this ribosomal RNA (424 nucleotides) under uncultured bacterium. RNAcentral's name for it is "bacterial SSU rRNA". It matches the Rfam family "Bacterial small subunit ribosomal RNA", at positions 355 to 775 of the family's 1533-position model. The record is from RNAcentral.
UGAGGAAUAUUGGUCAAUGGGCGCAAGCCUGAACCAGCCAUCCCGCGUGCAGGAAGACGGCCCUAUGGGUUGUAAACUGCUUUUCCAGGGGGAGAAACUUGCGCACGUGUUGCGCAAUUGACGGUACCCUGGGAAUAAGCAUCGGCUGACUCCGUGCCAGCAGCCGCGGUAAUACGGAGGAUGCGAGCGUUAUCCGGAUUCAUUGGGUUUAAAGGGUGCGUAGGCGGACUAUUAAGUCAGUGGUGAAAUCCUGCGGCUUAACUGCAGAACUGCCAUUGAUACUGAUAGCCUUGAGUUUGGUUAAGGUAGGCGGAAUGUGUAAUGUAGCGGUGAAAUGCUUAGAUAUUUCACAGAACACCAAUUGCGUAGGCAGCUUACUGAGCCGACACUGACGCUGAGGCACGAAAGCGUGGGGAUCGAACAG